Molecule: ribosomal RNA, 1462 nt
Filed under: uncultured Bordetella sp.
Lineage: Bacteria; Pseudomonadati; Pseudomonadota; Betaproteobacteria; Burkholderiales; Alcaligenaceae
Description: partial 16S-23S ribosomal RNA intergenic spacer
Rfam family: Bacterial small subunit ribosomal RNA
Source: RNAcentral
GGUUUGAUCAUGGCUCAGAUUGAACGCUGGCGGGAUGUUUUUGCCAAUACGCAAGUCGAACGGCAGCACGGACUUCGGUCUGGUGGCGAGUGGCGAACGGGUGAGUAAUGUAUCGAACGUGCCUAGUAAGUGUAUAACGACGCGAAAGCGUAGCCAAUACCGCCGCCCUUCGGGGAAAGCGGGGGACCUUCGGGCCUCGCACUAUUAGAGCGGCCGAUAUCGGAUUAGCUAGUUGGUGGGGUAACGGCUCACCAAGGCGACGAUCCGCCGGUUUGAGAGACGACCAGCCACACUGGGACUGGAGACAUUUGGCCCAGACUCCUACGGGAGGCAGCAGUGGGAAUUUUGACAAUGGGGGAAACCCUGAUCCAGCCAUCCCGCGUGUGCGAUGAAGGCCUUCGCUGUAAAAGCACUUUGGCAGGAAAGAAACGGCACGGAUAAUACCCCGUGCAACUGACGGUACCUGCAGAAUGGGCACCGGCUAACUACGUGCCAGCAGCCGCGGUAAUACGUAGGGUGCAAGCGUUAAUCGGAAUUAUUACUGGGCGUAAAGCGUGCGCAGGCGGUUCGAAAGAAAGAUGAAAUCCCAGAGCUAACUUUUGGAACUGCAUUUUUAACUACCGAGCUAGAGGUGUCAGAGGGAGGUGGAAUUCCGCGUGUAGCAGUGAAAUGCGUAGAUAUGCGGAGGAAACGAUGGCGAAGGCAGCCUCUGGGAUAACACUGACGCCAUGCACGAAAGCGUGGGGAGCAAACAGGAUUAGAUACCCUGGUAGUCCACGCCUCUAAACGAUGUCAACUAGCUGUUGGGGCCUUCGGGCCUUUGGUAGCGCUAACGUGGCGUGAAGUUGACCGCCUGGGAGUACGGUCGCAAGAUUAAAAACUCAAAGGAAUUUCGACAAAUCUGCACAAGCGGUGAUUGAUGUGGAUUAAUUCGAUGCAACGCGAAAACCUUACCUACCCUUGACAUGUCUGGAAUCCCGAAGAGAUUUGGGAGUGCUCGCAAGAGAACCGAACACAGGUGCUGCACGGUCGUCGUCAGCUCGUGUCAGGAGAUGUUGGGUUAAGUCCUAGCAACGAGCGGAACCCUUGUCAUUAGUUGCACGUAGGCACUCUAUCGAGAUUCGCCGGUGACAAACUGAGGAAGGUGGGGAUGACGUCAAGUCCUCAUGGCCCUUAGGUAGGGUCACACUGUCACAAGGCACAGCCGACAGAGGGUCGCCAACCCGCGAGGGGAGCCAAUCCCAGAAACCCGAUCGUAGUCCGGAUCGCAGCCUGCAACUCGACUGCGAAGUCGGAAUCGCUAGUAAUCGCGGAUCAGCAUGUCGCGGUGAAUACGUUCCCGGCCUGUACACACCGCCCGUCACACCAUGGGAGUGGGUUUUACCAGAAGUAGUUGAAGCCGAACGUAAGGAGGGCGAUACUACGGUAGGAUUCAUGACUGGGUGAAGUCGUAACAAGGUAA